GUCCCUUUCGUCUAGAGGCCUAGGACAUUGCCUUUUCACGGCAACAACACGGGUUCGACUCCCGUAAGGGAUA
RNAcentral lists this transfer RNA (73 nucleotides) under Mesostigma viride. Its description in RNAcentral is "tRNA-Glu". It matches the Rfam family "tRNA". Rfam says of the family: Transfer RNA (tRNA) molecules are approximately 80 nucleotides in length. Lineage: Eukaryota; Viridiplantae; Streptophyta; Mesostigmatophyceae; Mesostigmatales; Mesostigmataceae. The record is from RNAcentral.